Molecule: long non-coding RNA, 1127 nt
Filed under: Triticum aestivum (bread wheat)
Lineage: Eukaryota; Viridiplantae; Streptophyta; Magnoliopsida; Poales; Poaceae
Description: long non-coding RNA (TAES_LNC023856)
Source: RNAcentral
UAAGAAGCAGGAGACCGCUGCAAAAAUGAAACGAAGGCAAUCCGAGGAGCAAGAGACCUACUAAGCAGAAGUUGAAGCACCUUUCGAUUCGAAGAGCAAUCUGCAAAAAUUUAGAACAUAAGUUCAGGGAUAGGAGAAAUCCCAGGUGACUGAAAACAUGAAGCGUGCAGCAGGAGGGAAAUAACUACAACGCACUGAUAAAAUAGAAAUAAACAAAUAAAUUAGUAAAAUGAUGAUAUUGGCUUUUUACUAUGUCCAUCCUAAAUUAGAAACAUGUGCAGGUCGCACUACUAACCAAUUUGUGUAAGCAUGUAUCAUAAUCACAAUUUUAUGAAAUAAGAAUCAUUCUGAAAUGCAAGGAGCAAGCGACCUGUGAUGUAAUGUGGCCAAUCUGAGCAGCAAAAAACCUACACGCUCAGCAUUCUUUCAUCCCUAGCACAACCUGAGAAAUUGCAAAGCAUAAUCUUGUGAGGAUAGAAAUAUUCAGAGAGGGCUGAAAAGAGGGAGUGUGCACCUAGUACGGCUAUAGUUGGUUCCCAGACAUGGAUGUGAGCAGGCAUUCGUGGUCUAUGUGUAUGGCAGAGGGGUUAUAAGCACAACCUUUUCCGCAUUUGCAGGGUAAUGAAGCAGGAGAUAAUGACGACCGUAAAUUUAGUGUUGUGAGGCCGUUUCAUAUGCAUUUGUGGCAUGGAGGUGGAAGAGUUUGCGACAUAAAAGCGGGUAAGACGAAGGAAUAUGAUGGAAUUAAUGCUCAUCUGUGGAGCGGCGGUGACUGGCAGGGGGCCGUUGGGCAUGGCGGUGUAAGUCACCGGCGAUGGCUGGCCAUGAGGACCAUCGAUUGGGGCGUGGCGGCUGAAUCCAUGGUGGCGGCGGCUUGAUCCCGCAUCUCUGGAGAGGUUGCUUAUCGAGGACCGCCGGCGGUGAGGGCGGCAGGGUCAGCAGGGGCGGCUGGCCAGAGGCAAGCAUGGUUGGUGGCGGCUGGCCGGGGAAGGGUAGGUCGUGCACAUCUGCCGGAAGGGAUUGUUGCGGCGGCGGCUGGAUGGAAGGGAUUUUCUUUAGCUAUUCUUGAGGGAAGGGUGUGGGUCGUCCGUAUCCUGAACAAUAGAUGCCUAUGGGCUUGGUGUGGG